GACGAACGCUGGCGGCGUGCCUAAUACAUGCAAGUCGAACGAACAGACCCUGCGCUUGCCCCUCUCUCGUUAGGGGAGGGGGGGUGAGUAACGCGUGGAAACCCUACCUAAACCUCCGGGAUAACUUGGGAAAACAGGCGCAAACAGGGGAUAAUAUCUUGUACCACAUUGUGCCGUAGGGAAUGACGGUGUUGGUGGCUCUUAUAGAUGGAUCCGCGCUGCAUUCGCUAGUUGGUAAGGUAACGGCUUACCAAGGGAACGAUGCGUAGCCGAGCUGAAAGGGUGAUCGGCCACACUGGAACUGAGACACGGCCCAGACUCCUACGGGAGGCAGCAGUAGGGAAUCUUCGGCAAUGGGCGAAAGUCUGACGGAGCAACGCCGCGUGAGUGAUGAAGGUGUUCGGAUCGUAAAACUCUGUUAUUAGGGAAGAACAAGUGUGUAAGUAACUGAACACGUCUUGACGGUACCUAAUCAGAAAGCCACGGCUAACUACGUG
Molecule: ribosomal RNA, 497 nt
Filed under: uncultured bacterium
Lineage: Bacteria
Description: partial 16S ribosomal RNA
Rfam family: Bacterial small subunit ribosomal RNA
Source: RNAcentral